This 446-nucleotide ribosomal RNA is filed under the name uncultured bacterium. RNAcentral describes it as "bacterial SSU rRNA". It matches the Rfam family "Bacterial small subunit ribosomal RNA", at positions 355 to 825 of the family's 1533-position model. The record is from RNAcentral.
UGGGGAAUCUUGGACAAUGGGCGCAAGCCUGAUCCAGCCAUGCCGCGUGGAUGAUGAAGGCCUUAGGGUUGUAAAAUCCUUUCGCCGAGGACGAUAAUGACGGUACUCGGAGAAGAAGCUCCGGCUAACUUCGUGCCAGCAGCCGCGGUAAUACGAAGGGGGCUAGCGUUGUUCGGAUUUACUGGGCGUAAAGCGCGUGUAGGCGGGUCGUUAAGUUGGGGGUGAAAUCCCGAGGCUCAACCUCGGAACUGCCUUCAAAACUGGCGACCUGGACCUAAGUAGAGGCAAGUGGAAUUGCGAGUGUAGAGGUGAAAUUCGUAGAUAUUCGCAGGAACACCAGUGGCGAAGGCGACUUGCUGGACUUAUGGUGACGCUGAGACGCGAAAGCGUGGGGAGCAAACAGGAUUAGAUACCCAGUAGUCCCUGAGCGGGCUGGCAAGGCGCAU